Molecule: long non-coding RNA, 1502 nt
Organism: Peromyscus californicus insignis
Lineage: Eukaryota; Metazoa; Chordata; Mammalia; Rodentia; Cricetidae
Exons: 3
Source: RefSeq, a predicted model, not a curated record
CUUCAACCAUCAACCUAAGUGGCGAACUGGCCGCUGAUUAUGGAAAUUUUCUCCAAAAAUGGAAACAAGUAAAUAUAUUUCUUGUGAUAAUUUCGUAAUGAUUUCGCCCUGAACAUUUGACGGUGUGGGGACUUCUCUGUCUGCUUGGCACCUGAAUUGAAGCUCUUGGCCAAGCCUGGCUCUCAGGAGGAAUUCCAGGGGCAAGAGGACACAUUAGUGUUCAUACAAGAAAAAAAAUGCAAAACCAUCUGGCCUGAAUUGUCAUGUCUGGGCAGCCAUGUUGGUGAGAUGUCAUGGGUGUGGCCUCUGACCUUCCUAGGAGACACAGUGUCACUUGAAGAAGCUCUUUACUCCGCCCUCUCUUUUAGGUGGGCAAGGUCUACGACUGCUCUGCAUUGGCUGUGUUUCCUCUCCGUUGAACCGACUUUGAUCCAAGGGGUACUGGAGGUGAUGGAUCUCAGCGAAGACGGUGGCUCCGGUGGGAAUCAAAGGUGGGAGUAGUCUUAGGGUGGAGAAUGAGAAGCUCCCUUCCCUGGAGGAAAGCCACCCGCCAGCAGAGGCAUGAACCUUUGUGCGGGUGCCAAGCUUUUCACCCACUGAGCAUCGGAGGUGGAUGUCAUUUCCUUCACAGGUAAGAGCAAGAAGUGGUGUGUGCCAGGGCCCUGUGAUUUUUGGGUGACUCAGCCUGUGACCUUUCAGGAGGAAUCUCAGAGAGAGAAGGUGGGGAGUCUGAACUUGCUCUGUCGGAGCUUGAGAGGUAGCUGUUGCCGAUGCUUCUUCACAAUUCAGAUGAAGAGGGUUCAGUUAAUCCUACCUCUUGGCUCAAGGAUAUAGGCAUCAUCGGUCCCUGCAAAACACCUUUUGAAGAUGUAUUUACUUCCUUAUUCCUGUUUCUCUCCAUUCUUAAAUUCUAUUUUCUUGUCCAAGCCACAGUAAUUCUUAGGUGUGUUGUAUGCCUCCUUUUAUUUGCAUGCUUUGUUGCAAAAGUGAUUUCUUUGCAGUAUUAAUUUAUGUCUGUGUUCUAUCUCAUUGUUUCUCACUUUCCCCCUUGUUUAUUUUUUCCCCAUAACUGCUCCUAAAAUCCAUUCAUGCUGCUAUACAGACCUCAGUUCUGCUGUGUAGUAAGUAUUCCCUGGAAUUCCUGAGUAAUAAUGUAGUGAGUACCACAUUUAAUACUCAGUCUUAGUGAGGGGAACUAAGAUAACCUUUAACUCUUACCACAAGUAACUGCAGAUGUCUCCAGAGGAACUGAAUGAGACUUUGAGGGGAUGUAUCCUAUAGAGGACUUUCUGUAUGUUCUAAUGAACUUGAUUCACCAGGUCGGAGUGCUCCCCAAGGUGACUCACCAGGCCAGAGUGCUCCCCAGGAUGCUUGCCAGUGCAGACUUCUCUCAAGUCCUCCGUCUCUCCAGCAACGUACAAGAACAGUCACAUCUCACAUCUGCCACACUUGGCGUCAUGCUUCUUUCCAUAUUUUAUCCAUAAAAAAGGCAUGCAGUAGCA